CGGAGCGAAAGCGACGUUCAACCUCAAAAGAAGCAGAGGGGGCUUAGUGGUGGGGUGACUGCGUACCUUUUGUAUAAUGGGUCAGCGACUUAUAUUCUGUAGCAAGGUUAACCGAAUAGGGGAGCCGGAGGGAAACCGAGUCUUAAUUGGGCGUUAAGUUGCAGGGUAUAGACCCGAAACCCGGUGAUCUAGCCAUGGGCAGGUUGAAGGUUGGGUAACACUAACUGGAGGACCGAACCGACUAAUGUUGAAAAAUUAGCGGAUGACCUGUGGC
Molecule: ribosomal RNA, 274 nt
Filed under: Salmonella enterica subsp. enterica serovar Lubbock
Lineage: Bacteria; Pseudomonadati; Pseudomonadota; Gammaproteobacteria; Enterobacterales; Enterobacteriaceae
Description: partial 23S ribosomal RNA
Rfam family: Bacterial large subunit ribosomal RNA
Source: RNAcentral